RNAcentral lists this ribosomal RNA (802 nucleotides) under Calonarius elegantiomontanus. Its description in RNAcentral is "eukaryotic LSU rRNA". The stretch from base 289 to 442 matches the Rfam family "5.8S ribosomal RNA". The record is from RNAcentral. Lineage: Eukaryota; Fungi; Basidiomycota; Agaricomycetes; Agaricales; Cortinariaceae.
AAAGUCGUAACAAGGUUUCCGUAGGUGAACCUGCGGAAGGAUCAUUAUUGAAAUAAACCUGAUAAGUUGUUGCUGGUUCUCUAGGGAGCAUGUGCACACUUGUCAUCUUUGUAUCUCCACCUGUGCACCUUUUGUAGACCUUGGGUAUCUCUCUGAUUGCUUUAGCAACUCAGGAUUGAGGAUUGACUUUCUGUCUCUUCUUACAUUUCCAGGCCUAUGUUUUUCAAAUACCCUAAUGUAUGUUUAUAGAAUGUAAUCAAAUAGGCCUUUGUGCCAAUAAAUUGAUACAACUUUCAGCAACGGAUCUCUUGGCUCUCGCAUCGAUGAAGAACGCAGCGAAAUGCGAUAAGUAAUGUGAAUUGCAGAAUUCAGUGAAUCAUCGAAUCUUUGAACGCACCUUGCGCUCCUUGGUAUUCCGAGGAGCAUGCCUGUUUGAGUGUCAUUAAUAUAUCAACCUCUUUUUUUGUGGUUGGAUGUGGGUUUGCUGGCCACUUUGGAGGUCAGCUCUCCUUAAAUGCAUUAGCGGACAAUAUUUUGCCAAAUGUUUCAUUGGUGUGAUAAUUAUCUACACUAUUGACGUGAAGCAAGGUUCAGCUUCUAACAGUUCAUUGACUUGGACAAUUUUUUAUUUUAUUAAUGUGACCUCAAAUCAGGUAGGACUACCCGCUGAACUUAAGCAUAUCAAUAAGCGGAGGAAAAGAAACUAACAAGGAUUCCCCUAGUAACUGCGAGUGAAGCGGGAAAAGCUCAAAUUUAAAAUCUGGCAGUCUUUGGCUGUCCGAGUUGUAAUCUAGAGAAGCAU